GAGUUUGAUCCUGGCUCAGGACGAACGCUGGCGGCGUGCUUAACGCAUGCAAGUCGCACGGGGCGCAAGCCUAGUGGCGGACGGGUGAGUAACACGUAGGGACCUGCCCGGAAGUGGGGGACAACUCUCCGAAAGGAGAGCUAAUACCGCAUACGGUCUACGGACCAAAGCCGAAAGGCGCUUCUGGAGGGACCUGCGGUGGAUUAGCUAGUUGGUGGGGUAACGGCCUACCAAGGCGACGAUCCAUAGCUGGUCUGAGAGGAUGAUCAGCCACACUGGGACUGAGACACGGCCCAGACUCCUACGGGAGGCAGCAGCGAGGAAUUUUGCACAAUCGACGCAAGUCGGAUGCAGCAACGCCGCGUGGGGGAAGAAGGCUCUCGAGUUGUAAACCCCUUUUGUGAGGGAAGAAGAUCUGACGGUACCUCACGAAUAAGUCACGGCUAACUACGUGCCAGCAGCCGCCGUAAC
This 471-nucleotide ribosomal RNA is filed under the name uncultured Clostridia bacterium. Its description in RNAcentral is "bacterial SSU rRNA". It matches the Rfam family "Bacterial small subunit ribosomal RNA", at positions 9 to 524 of the family's 1533-position model. The record is from RNAcentral. Lineage: Bacteria; Bacillati; Bacillota; Clostridia.